CUGUCUGCCCCCUAGUGUAAGAGUUCUCGCUGCCUAAAAGGCAACUUUAAAAGAAAAGAGCUCUUAAAGGGAAACGACUUUGGGCUCACGUAGGCAUAGCAGAAUGAAACUUCUGUACAUUUUAAUCUGAACAAUUCUUCAGGGUUUAAAAUUAAUUGGCUCUGGCUUGGUUGGACCGGACUCCGAUCUCGCCACCUCUGCGUUUCCUGAGUCACUGCCGGAGAGGUGAUGAUUUUUUUUUUUUUCUUUCUGAACUGGGUUUAUGUGUGUCCCCCUCACCCCCUCCUCUCUUUUUUCUUUCUCUAUCUCUGUCGUCUCUCUCGCUGGCUUUUUAAAAAUGAGGAACCGUUCCUUGAACGUUCUGGACAGAGCACAGAAUUGCUUAAGUCAGCCCGACACGGUUGUAAUAGACAGCAAAAAGGUAAACGUUUGCCUGAAAUCCGCACGCCAGCUCCACUACCCCGCCCGAUGAGAAGAAUAAUGGGGAAACACGGAUCUUUUAUUUUAGGAAACUGUUAUGGUAAGAUGUAUGUCAGACUUGACAAAUGGAACUAACCCUCUUCGGCUGCUUCUUGUCCUUGUCUUAAACAGGAAUUAAGUUAAACACAGUGCUGAAUGUUAAUUACAUGUUUACUGGCUAAUGAAAAUUACAAAUGGUUUAGCCACCUCAAACAAUGAUGAAAACUCUGAAGACACUGUAAUUAUAUACUUUGAGGGAAAUAACUCAGAAUAUUGAUCAUAAGAAGUGUAAAUCUUUUUUUAACUAUUCAUUAAUACCAUAAAUAUGGGCUACAGAAGUUUUUCCUUGUGGUUUGUCUCAUCAGUUAUACGAGUGGAUGGAUGGUGAGGCUUCUCUGGGGAGGUGAUGAACUCAUUCUCUUAUAGAAAGAGGCCACUUGUGUAACUGGGGGUGCCCCCCUCCCUUUCACCCCCGCCCCCUUUAACCCCAGCAGAAGGUCGAGGGAUAGUUGAACAGGGGGGCCGGGCUCAGGGCAGGUGAAGGUGAUCACAGCUCAGCCUCUUUCCUCCCCUCCCCUUGUCCUCCUCUCCCUCCUCCCUUUCCUGCCAGGUCUGAUCGAUGACUGCCUUCCCCAGCCAGGGCGCCUGUCGGAUAACCUGGCGUUUGGGUUCCUAAUGGAGGACAACUCACCGCAACCCAGCGAUGCCGCCCUGACAACCCAAGUUCCCUCCUUUAGAGGUGGCUAGGGCAGUUCAUUGCAAAAGAAGAAGAAGAAAAAAAAGGAUAACCGGUUUCUAAAACAUUGUGGAAUUCAAGGCUCCAUAAUGGAAUCAAGAAGUCAUGAACAGCUCCCUUGGAAGGAAGCUUGGAGGACACUGGUCCAACUUCCCACUGAAGCCAGAGGUCUGGAAAUGGGCAGAUGGUCAGGCAGACGACACCGAUUCAGCAUUUUCAAGAGUUGUAAAUUCAAGGCAGUCGUUUCUCAGUAUCCAUCUGGGAUUGGUUCCUGGACCUCCGAGGAUACCAAAAUCCGUGGAUGCUCAAGUGCCUUGUAUAAAUGAUGUAGUACAAUUGGCCUUCCCUAGCGGCAGGUUCCGAAUCCACAGAUUCAUCUAACUGAGGAUCGAAUUUUGGAUGAAGAAAAAAAGGAGGAUAUGCAUUACUAAGAAUCAAAGGAAGUGCCUGACUCUAUAACAAAGAGAAAAGCUUCAAAAUGAUUGUACAACAUGAAGACAGAAAUAACCAUAUUAAGAGGUCAUUGGUCCGACUUCUCCAGAAACCUCCCCUGGGCAGCGGUCUCUACCUCUGUUACAGAAGACUGCAAAAAUACCAGCCAUUGUGCAUCUGGCCAAUUAUGCAAUGUUCUGUCACAAGGGGAAAUUCCUUUCUCACUCCAGCUGGUGAGCAGUUAUGCCCUGGAGCCCAGGACGGACAUGCCUUGUAACUUUUUAACCUAGUUAGUGUAACUGCCAAUAUUAUUCCUAUUCAUAUAAAUGUCUAAUCCUUUCUUGAAUCUUGCUAGACUAUUUGCCUCAAUAAUAUCCUGCGGCAAUGAAUUCCACAGGUAGAUUAUAUGCUGUUUUAAAAAGUAUUUCCUUUUAUUCAUUUUAAAUUUGUUACCUUUUAAUGUCACAAGAUGGCCCUUGUUCUUGCAUCAAGUGGUACAGGGUACAGGCAUUUCAAACUGAGCUUUAAUUCUUCCAAGCACUUUCUCCGCCAUUAUUAAAACCCUAUAUUCUUCAUAUAUUUUCUACUUUGGCACGUGUAAUCUUGAUUAAAUGGGAUGA
Long non-coding RNA from Physeter macrocephalus (sperm whale), 2247 nucleotides. RefSeq lists it as uncharacterized. The record is from RefSeq and is a predicted model, not a curated record. Lineage: Eukaryota; Metazoa; Chordata; Mammalia; Artiodactyla; Physeteridae. The transcript is spliced from 6 exons.